This 476-nucleotide ribosomal RNA is filed under the name uncultured bacterium. RNAcentral describes it as "partial 16S ribosomal RNA". It matches the Rfam family "Bacterial small subunit ribosomal RNA", at positions 29 to 523 of the family's 1533-position model. The record is from RNAcentral.
AGUGAACGCUGGCGGCGUGCUUAACACAUGCAAGUCGAACGGAUGAAAUAAGCUUGCUUAUUUCGUUAGUGGCGCACGGGUGAGUAAUGUAUAGCUAACCUGCCCUUUAGUGGGGGACAACAGUUGGAAACGACUGCUAAUACCCCAUACUCCUUCUUAUCAUAAGAUAAGUUGGGAAAGAUUUAUUGCUAAAGGAUGGGGCUUUAUUGUAUCAGCUAGUUGGUGGGGUAACGGCCUACCAAGGCUAUGACGCAUACCUGGUCUGAGAGGAUGAUCAGGCACACUGGAACUGAGACACGGUCCAGACUCCUACGGGAGGCAGCAGUGGGGAAUAUUGCACAAUGGGGGAAACCCUGAUGCAGCAACGCCGCGUGGAGGAUGACGCAUUUCGGUGUGUAAACUCCUUUUAUAAGGGAAGAUAAUGACGGUACCUUAUGAAUAAGCACCGGCUAACUCCGUGCCAGCAGCCGCGGUAA